Molecule: ribosomal RNA, 2922 nt
Filed under: Staphylococcus aureus
Lineage: Bacteria; Bacillati; Bacillota; Bacilli; Caryophanales; Staphylococcaceae
Description: 23S ribosomal RNA
Rfam family: Bacterial large subunit ribosomal RNA
Source: RNAcentral
GAUUAAGUUAUUAAGGGCGCACGGUGGAUGCCUUGGCACUAGAAGCCGAUGAAGGACGUUACUAACGACGAUAUGCUUUGGGGAGCUGUAAGUAAGCUUUGAUCCAGAGAUUUCCGAAUGGGGAAACCCAGCAUGAGUUAUGUCAUGUUAUCGAUAUGUGAAUACAUAGCAUAUCAGAAGGCACACCCGGAGAACUGAAACAUCUUAGUACCCGGAGGAAGAGAAAGAAAAUUCGAUUCCCUUAGUAGCGGCGAGCGAAACGGGAAGAGCCCAAACCAACAAGCUUGCUUGUUGGGGUUGUAGGACACUCUAUACGGAGUUACAAAGGACGACAUUAGACGAAUCAUCUGGAAAGAUGAAUCAAAGAAGGUAAUAAUCCUGUAGUCGAAAAUGUUGUCUCUCUUGAGUGGAUCCUGAGUACGACGGAGCACGUGAAAUUCCGUCGGAAUCUGGGAGGACCAUCUCCUAAGGCUAAAUACUCUCUAGUGACCGAUAGUGAACCAGUACCGUGAGGGAAAGGUGAAAAGCACCCCGGAAGGGGAGUGAAAUAGAACCUGAAACCGUGUGCUUACAAGUAGUCAGAGCCCGUUAAUGGGUGAUGGCGUGCCUUUGUAGAAUGAACCGGCGAGUUACGAUUUGAUGCAAGGUUAAGCAGUAAAUGUGGAGCCGUAGCGAAAGCGAGUCUGAAUAGGGCGUUUAGUAUUUGGUCGUAGACCCGAAACCAGGUGAUCUACCCUUGGUCAGGUUGAAGUUCAGGUAACACUGAAUGGAGGACCGAACCGACUUACGUUGAAAAGUGAGCGGAUGAACUGAGGGUAGCGGAGAAAUUCCAAUCGAACCUGGAGAUAGCUGGUUCUCUCCGAAAUAGCUUUAGGGCUAGCCUCAAGUGAUGAUUAUUGGAGGUAGAGCACUGUUUGGACGAGGGGCCCCUCUCGGGUUACCGAAUUCAGACAAACUCCGAAUGCCAAUUAAUUUAACUUGGGAGUCAGAACAUGGGUGAUAAGGUCCGUGUUCGAAAGGGAAACAGCCCAGACCACCAGCUAAGGUCCCAAAAUAUAUGUUAAGUGGAAAAGGAUGUGGCGUUGCCCAGACAACUAGGAUGUUGGCUUAGAAGCAGCCAUCAUUUAAAGAGUGCGUAAUAGCUCACUAGUCGAGUGACACUGCGCCGAAAAUGUACCGGGGCUAAACAUAUUACCGAAGCUGUGGAUUGUCCUUUGGACAAUGGUAGGAGAGCGUUCUAAGGGCGUUGAAGCAUGAUCGUAAGGACAUGUGGAGCGCUUAGAAGUGAGAAUGCCGGUGUGAGUAGCGAAAGACGGGUGAGAAUCCCGUCCACCGAUUGACUAAGGUUUCCAGAGGAAGGCUCGUCCGCUCUGGGUUAGUCGGGUCCUAAGCUGAGGCCGACAGGCGUAGGCGAUGGAUAACAGGUUGAUAUUCCUGUACCACCUAUAAUCGUUUUAAUCGAUGGGGGGACGCAGUAGGAUAGGCGAAGCGUGCGAUUGGAUUGCACGUCUAAGCAGUAAGGCUGAGUAUUAGGCAAAUCCGGUACUCGUUAAGGCUGAGCUGUGAUGGGGAGAAGACAUUGUGUCUUCGAGUCGUUGAUUUCACACUGCCGAGAAAAGCCUCUAGAUAGAAAAUAGGUGCCCGUACCGCAAACCGACACAGGUAGUCAAGAUGAGAAUUCUAAGGUGAGCGAGCGAACUCUCGUUAAGGAACUCGGCAAAAUGACCCCGUAACUUCGGGAGAAGGGGUGCUCUUUAGGGUUAACGCCCAGAAGAGCCGCAGUGAAUAGGCCCAAGCGACUGUUUAUCAAAAACACAGGUCUCUGCUAAACCGUAAGGUGAUGUAUAGGGGCUGACGCCUGCCCGGUGCUGGAAGGUUAAGAGGAGUGGUUAGCUUCUGCGAAGCUACGAAUCGAAGCCCCAGUAAACGGCGGCCGUAACUAUAACGGUCCUAAGGUAGCGAAAUUCCUUGUCGGGUAAGUUCCGACCCGCACGAAAGGCGUAACGAUUUGGGCACUGUCUCAACGAGAGACUCGGUGAAAUCAUAGUACCUGUGAAGAUGCAGGUUACCCGCGACAGGACGGAAAGACCCCGUGGAGCUUUACUGUAGCCUGAUAUUGAAAUUCGGCACAGCUUGUACAGGAUAGGUAGGAGCCUUUGAAACGUGAGCGCUAGCUUACGUGGAGGCGCUGGUGGGAUACUACCCUAGCUGUGUUGGCUUUCUAACCCGCACCACUUAUCGUGGUGGGAGACAGUGUCAGGCGGGCAGUUUGACUGGGGCGGUCGCCUCCUAAAAGGUAACGGAGGCGCUCAAAGGUUCCCUCAGAAUGGUUGGAAAUCAUUCAUAGAGUGUAAAGGCAUAAGGGAGCUUGACUGCGAGACCUACAAGUCGAGCAGGGUCGAAAGACGGACUUAGUGAUCCGGUGGUUCCGCAUGGAAGGGCCAUCGCUCAACGGAUAAAAGCUACCCCGGGGAUAACAGGCUUAUCUCCCCCAAGAGUUCACAUCGACGGGGAGGUUUGGCACCUCGAUGUCGGCUCAUCGCAUCCUGGGGCUGUAGUCGGUCCCAAGGGUUGGGCUGUUCGCCCAUUAAAGCGGUACGCGAGCUGGGUUCAGAACGUCGUGAGACAGUUCGGUCCCUAUCCGUCGUGGGCGUAGGAAAUUUGAGAGGAGCUGUCCUUAGUACGAGAGGACCGGGAUGGACAUACCUCUGGUGUACCAGUUGUCGUGCCAACGGCAUAGCUGGGUAGCUAUGUGUGGACGGGAUAAGUGCUGAAAGCAUCUAAGCAUGAAGCCCCCCUCAAGAUGAGAUUUCCCAACUUCGGUUAUAAGAUCCCUCAAAGAUGAUGAGAUUAAUAGGUUCGAGGUGGAAGCAUGGUGACAUGUGGAGCUGACGAAUACUAAUCGAUCGAAGACUUAAUCAA